Molecule: long non-coding RNA, 249 nt
Organism: Mya arenaria
Lineage: Eukaryota; Metazoa; Mollusca; Bivalvia; Myida; Myidae
Exons: 3
Source: RefSeq, a predicted model, not a curated record
GAUUACACGCCGUUGCUGCAGAUAAAGUUAUCCAAGUGCGCUGACAUACUUCUACUGGUAUUGCAUAAAGCUUUCUCUUGUCUCGUCUUAAUAUCAAAGACGCAUCCAACAAUGAACCUUCUUCACGAUUUCACGUGUAUAAUGCUGGUGCUUAUACUUCCAAGACUCGCCAGUUCAUUUAUUCUGAACAGCGAAUGUGUAGCUCCGGUACCGUGUACUUGUUCCGGAAGUAACAUUUAUUGCCAAGGC